GUGGGGAAUUUUGGACAAUGGGCGCAAGCCUGAUCCAGCAAUGCCGCGUGCAGGAAGAAGGCCUUCGGGUUGUAAACUGCUUUUGUACGGAACGAAACGGUCCGGGUUAAUACCCUGGGCUAAUGACGGUACCGUAAGAAUAAGCACCGGCUAACUACGUGCCAGCAGCCGCGGUAAUACGUAGGGUGCAAGCGUUAAUCGGAAUUACUGGGCGUAAAGCGUGCGCAGGCGGUUUUGUAAGACAGGCGUGAAAUCCCCGGGCUCAACCUGGGAAUUGCGGUUGUGACUGCAAGGCUGGAGUGCGGGCGAGGGGGAUGGAAUUCCGCGUGUAGCAGUGAAAUGCGUAGAUAUGCGGAGGAACACCGAUGGCGAAGGCAAUCCCCUGGGCCUGCACUGACGCUCAUGCACGAAAGCGUGGGGAGCAAACAGGAUUAGAAACCCCAGUAGUCC
RNAcentral lists this ribosomal RNA (450 nucleotides) under uncultured bacterium. Its description in RNAcentral is "partial 16S ribosomal RNA". It matches the Rfam family "Bacterial small subunit ribosomal RNA", at positions 354 to 796 of the family's 1533-position model. The record is from RNAcentral.